RNAcentral lists this ribosomal RNA (468 nucleotides) under uncultured bacterium. RNAcentral's name for it is "bacterial SSU rRNA". It matches the Rfam family "Bacterial small subunit ribosomal RNA", at positions 28 to 507 of the family's 1533-position model. The record is from RNAcentral.
GACGAACGCUGGCGGCGUGCCUAACACAUGCAAGUCGAACGGACAUUAAUUUUUCGGAAUUGAUGUUAGUGGCGGACGGGUGAGUAACGCGUGAGCAACCUGCCUUUCAGAGGGGGAUAACGUAUGGAAACGUACGCUAAUACCGCAUGACAUAUAUUUGCCGCAUGGCAGAUAUAUCAAAGGAGCAAUCCGCUGAGAGAUGGGCUCGCGUCCGAUUAGAUAGUUGGUGGGGUAACGGCCUACCAAGUCAGCGAUCGGUAGCCGGACUGAGAGGUUGAACGGCCACAUUGGGACUGAGACACGGCCCAGACUCCUACGGGAGGCAGCAGUGGGGGGAUAUUGCACAAUGGGCGAAAGCCUGAUGCAGCAACGCCGCGUGAGGGAAGACGGUUUUCGGAUUGUAAACCUCUGUCUUUGGUGACGAAACAAAUGACGGUAGCCAAGGAGGAAGCCACGGCUAACUACGUG